This 1347-nucleotide ribosomal RNA is filed under the name Salmonella enterica subsp. enterica serovar Typhimurium. Its description in RNAcentral is "partial 23S ribosomal RNA". It matches the Rfam family "Bacterial large subunit ribosomal RNA", at positions 373 to 1637 of the family's 2925-position model. The record is from RNAcentral. Lineage: Bacteria; Pseudomonadati; Pseudomonadota; Gammaproteobacteria; Enterobacterales; Enterobacteriaceae.
CCGUACACAAAAGCGCAUGUGCUGUGAGCUCGAUGAGUAGGGCGGGACACGUGGUAUCCUGUCUGAAUAUGGGGGGACCAUCCUCCAAGGCUAAAUACUCCUGACUGACCGAUAGUGAACCAGUACCGUGAGGGAAAGGCGAAAAGAACCCCGGCGAGGGGAGUGAAAAAGAACCUGAAACCGUGUACGUACAAGCAGUGGGAGCACAGGUUUACCUGUGUGACUGCGUACCUUUUGUAUAAUGGGUCAGCGACUUAUAUUCUGUAGCAAGGUUAACCGUAUAGGGGAGCCGGAGGGAAACCGAGUCUUAAUUGGGCGUUAAGUUGCAGGGUAUAGACCCGAAACCCGGUGAUCUAGCCAUGGGCAGGUUGAAGGUUGGGUAACACUAACUGGAGGACCGAACCGACUAAUGUUGAAAAAUUAGCGGAUGACCUGUGGCUGGGGGUGAAAGGCCAAUCAAACCGGGAGAUAGCUGGUUCUCCCCGAAAGCUAUUUAGGUAGCGCCUCGUGAAUUCAUCUCCGGGGGUAGAGCACUGUUUCGGCUAGGGGGCCAUCCCGGCUUACCAACCCGAUGCAAACUGCGAAUACCGGAGAAUGUUAUCACGGGAGACACACGGCGGGUGCUAACGUCCGUCGUGAAGAGGGAAACAACCCAGACCGCCAGCUAAGGUCCCAAAGUCAUGGUUAAGUGGGAAACGAUGUGGGAAGGCCCAGACAGCCAGGAUGUUGGCUUAGAAGCAGCCAUCAUUUAAAGAAAGCGUAAUAGCUCACUGGUCGAGUCGGCCUGCGCGGAAGAUGUAACGGGGCUAAACCAUGCACCGAAGCUGCGGCAGCGAACGUAUCACCCAAGACAACUUUACGGAGUUGACGAUUGACGGAGCGAAGCGACGUCAAAGCGUUCAUUAAAGUCGAGUUGGCUUAGGGAUACGUUCGUUGGGUAGGGGAGCGUUCUGUAAGCCUGUGAAGGUGUGUCGUGAGGCAUGCUGGAGGUAUCAGAAGUGCGAAUGCUGACAUAAGUAACGAUAAAGCGGGUGAAAAGCCCGCUCGCCGGAAGACCAAGGGUUCCUGUCCAACGUUAAUCGGGGCAGGGUGAGUCGACCCCUAAGGCGAGGCCGAAAGGCGUAGUCGAUGGGAAACGGGUUAAUAUUCCCGUACUUGGUGUUACUGCGAAGGGGGGACGGAGAAGGCUAUGUUGGCCGGGCGACGGUUGUCCCGGUUUAAGCGUGUAGGUGUGUGUUCCAGGUAAAUCCGGUUCACUUUAACACUGAGGCGUGACGACGAGGCACUACGGUGCUGAAGCAACAAAUGCCCUGCUUCCAGGAAAAGCCUCUAAGCAUCAGGUAACAC